ACUCCUACGGGAGGCAGCAGUGGGGAAUAUUGGACAAUGGGGGAAACCCUGACGCAGCAACGCCGCGUGAAUGAAGAAGGCCUUAGGGUUGUAAAGUUCUGUUUUCUGGGACGAUAAUGACGGUACCAGAGGAGGAAGCCACGGCUAACUACGUGCCAGCAGCCGCGGUAAUACGUAGGUGGCAAGCGUUGUCCGGAUUUACUGGGCGUAAAGGAUGCGUAGGCGGAUGUUUAAGUGAGAUGUGAAAUACCCGAGCUCAACUUGGGUGCUGCAUUUCAAACUGGAUAUCUAGAGUGCAGGAGAGGAAAGCGGAAUUCCUAGUGUAGCGGUGAAAUGCGUAGAGAUUAGGAAGAACACCAGUGGCGAAGGCGGCUUUCUGGACUGUAACUGACGCUGAGGCAUGAAAGCGUGGGGAGCAAACAGGAUUAGAUACCCUGGUAGGUC
This 444-nucleotide ribosomal RNA is filed under the name uncultured bacterium. RNAcentral's name for it is "bacterial SSU rRNA". It matches the Rfam family "Bacterial small subunit ribosomal RNA", at positions 335 to 795 of the family's 1533-position model. The record is from RNAcentral.